Molecule: ribosomal RNA, 328 nt
Filed under: uncultured Bacillota bacterium
Lineage: Bacteria; Bacillati; Bacillota
Description: bacterial SSU rRNA
Rfam family: Bacterial small subunit ribosomal RNA
Source: RNAcentral
GAUGAACGCUGGCGGCGUGCCUAACACAUGCAAGUCGAGCGGAGAUAAAGAAGCUUGCUUCUUUAUCUUAGCGGCGGACGGGUGAGUAACGCGUGGGCAACCUACCUCAGACUGGGGGAUAACACAGGGAAACUUGUGCUAAUACCGCAUAAAGUAAUUAGUCGGCAUCGACUGAUUACCAAAGGAGUAAUCCGGUUUGAGAUGGGCCCGCGUCCGAUUAGCUAGUUGGUGGGGUAAAGGCCUACCAAGGCGACGAUCGGUAGCCGAACUGAGAGGUUGAUCGGCCACAUUGGGACUGAGACACGGCCCAGACUCCUACGGGUGGCAG